UUACACUGGCAUUCGUGUCGGCAUGUGUAGGAUAGGUGGUAGGCUUUGAAGCAGGGACGCCAGUUUCUGUGGAGCCAUCCUUGAAAUACCACCCUGGUAAUAUUGAGGUUCUAACUCUGUCCCGUUAUCCGGGACGAGGACCAUGUCUGGUGGGUAGUUUGACUGGGGCGGUCUCCUCCCAAAGUGUAACGGAGGAGCACGAAGGUCAGCUAAUCCUGGUCGGACAUCAGGAGGUUAGUGCAAUGGCAUAAGCUGGCUUGACUGCGAGAGUGACGGCUCGAGCAGGUGCGAAAGCAGGUCAUAGUGAUCCGGUGGUUCUGUAUGGAAGGGCCAUCGCUCAACGGAUAAAAGGUACUCCGGGGAUAACAGGCUGAUACCGCCCAAGAGUUCAUAUCGACGGCGGUGUUUGGCACCUCGAUGUCGGCUCAUCACAUCCUGGGGCUGUAGUCGGUCCCAAGGG
Molecule: ribosomal RNA, 460 nt
Filed under: Mycobacterium tuberculosis
Lineage: Bacteria; Bacillati; Actinomycetota; Actinomycetes; Mycobacteriales; Mycobacteriaceae
Description: partial 23S ribosomal RNA
Rfam family: Bacterial large subunit ribosomal RNA
Source: RNAcentral